UACGUAGGGGCUAGCGUUAUCCGGAAUUACUGGGCGUAAAGGGUGCGUAGGUGGUUUCUUAAGUCAGAGGUGAAAGGCUACGGCUCAACCGUAGUAAGCCUUUGAAACUGGGAAACUUGAGUGCAGGAGAGGAGAGUGGAGUUCCUAGUGUAGCGGUGAAAUGCGUAGAUAUUAGGAGGAACACCAGUUGCGAAGGCGGCUCUCUGGACUGUAACUGACACUGAGGCACGAAAGCGUGGGGAGCAAACAGGAUUAGAUACCCGGGUAGUCCCUGAGCGGGCU
RNAcentral lists this ribosomal RNA (282 nucleotides) under uncultured prokaryote. RNAcentral's name for it is "partial 16S ribosomal RNA". It matches the Rfam family "Bacterial small subunit ribosomal RNA", at positions 524 to 817 of the family's 1533-position model. The record is from RNAcentral.